GAUGAACGCUGGCGGCGUGCCUAAUACAUGCAAGUCGAGCGAACAGACGAGGAUCUUGCUCCUCUGACGUUAGCGGCGGACGGGUGAUUAACACGUGGAUAACCUACCUAUAAGACUGGGAUAACUUCGGGAAACCGGAGCGAAUACCGGAUAAUAUAUUGAACCGCAUGGUUCAAUAGUUGAAGACGGUUGUGCUUUCACUUAUAGAUGGAUCCGCGCCGCAUUAGAUAGUUGGUAAGGUAACGGCUUACCAAGGCAACGACGCGUAGCCGACCUGAGAGGGUCAUCGGCCACCUGGGAACUGAGACAGGGCACACACUCCGACGGUGGGACGCAGUAGGGAAUCUUACGCAAUGGGGGAAAGCCUGACGGAGCACAGCCGCGGGAGUCAUGAAGCUCUUCGGAUCGUAAAACUCUGUUAUUAGGGAAGAACAAAUGUGUAAGUAACUAUGCACGUCUUGACGGUACCUAAUCAGAAAGCCACGGCUAACUACGUG
This 497-nucleotide ribosomal RNA is filed under the name uncultured bacterium. RNAcentral's name for it is "partial 16S ribosomal RNA". It matches the Rfam family "Bacterial small subunit ribosomal RNA", at positions 28 to 507 of the family's 1533-position model. The record is from RNAcentral.